ACGCUGGCGGCAGGCUUAACACAUGCAAGUCGAACGGUAACAGGGAUUAGCUUGCUAAUCUGCUGACGAGUGGCGGACGGGUGAGUAAUGCUUGGGAAUCUGGCUUAUGGAGGGGGAUAACUACGGGAAACUGUAGCUAAUACCGCGUAAAAUCUUCGGAUUAAAGGGUGGGACUUUCGAGCCACCUGCCAUAAGAUGAGCCCAAGUGGGAUUAGGUAGUUGGUAAGGUAAAGGCUGACCAAGCCGACGAUCUCUAGCUGGUCUGAGAGGAUGACCAGCCACACUGGAACUGAGACACGGUCCAGACUCCUACGGGAGGCAGCAGUGGGGAAUAUUGCACAAUGGGGGGAACCCUGAUGCAGCCAUGCCGCGUGAAUGAAGAAGGCCUUCGGGUUGUAAAGUUCUUUCGGUGACGAGGAAGGUUGAUAGGUUAAUAGCCUAUCAAAUUGACGUUAAUCACAGAAGAAGCACCGGCUAACUCCGUGCCAGCAGCCGCGGUAAUACGGGGGGUGCGAGCGUUAAUCGGAAUAACUGGGCGUAAAGGGCACGCAGGCGGUGACUUAAGUGAGAUGUGAAAGCCCCGAGCUUAACUUGGGAAUUGCAUUUCAUACUGGGUCGCUAGAGUACUUUAGGGAGGGGUAGAAUUCCACGUGUAGCGGUGAAAUGCGUAGAGAUGUGGAGGAAUACCGAAGGCGAAGGCAGCCCCUUGGGAAUGUACUGACGCUCAUGUGCGAAAGCGUGGGGAGCAAACAGGAUUAGAUACCCUAGUAGUCCACGCUGUAAACGAUGUCGAUUUGGGGAUUGGGCUUUGAGCUUGGUGCCCGUAGCUAACGUGAUAAAUCGACCGCCUGGGGAGUACGGCCGCAAGGUUAAAACUCAAAUGAAUUGACGGGGGCCCGCACAAGCGG
This 908-nucleotide ribosomal RNA is filed under the name uncultured bacterium. Its description in RNAcentral is "bacterial SSU rRNA". It matches the Rfam family "Bacterial small subunit ribosomal RNA", at positions 33 to 932 of the family's 1533-position model. The record is from RNAcentral.